This 273-nucleotide ribosomal RNA is filed under the name uncultured bacterium. Its description in RNAcentral is "partial 16S ribosomal RNA". It matches the Rfam family "Bacterial small subunit ribosomal RNA", at positions 524 to 796 of the family's 1533-position model. The record is from RNAcentral.
UACGGAGGGGGUUAGCGUUGUUCGGAAUUACUGGGCGUAAAGCGCACGUAGGCGGAUUGGAAAGUUGGGGGUGAAAUCCCAGGGCUCAACCCUGGAACUGCCUCCAAAACUAACAGUCUAGAGUUCGAGAGAGGUGAGUGGAAUUCCAAGUGUAGAGGUGAAAUUCGUAGAUAUUUGGAGGAACACCAGUGGCGAAGGCGGCUCACUGGCUCGAUACUGACGCUGAGGUGCGAAAGCGUGGGGAGCAAACAGGAUUAGAAACCCCAGUAGUCC